RNAcentral lists this ribosomal RNA (863 nucleotides) under uncultured bacterium. RNAcentral describes it as "bacterial SSU rRNA". It matches the Rfam family "Bacterial small subunit ribosomal RNA", at positions 8 to 853 of the family's 1533-position model. The record is from RNAcentral.
AGAGUUUGAUCAUGGCUCAGGACGAACGCUGGCGGCGUGCCUAAUACAUGCAAGUAGAACGCUGAAGUCUGGUGCUUGCACCGGAUGGAUGAGUUGCGAACGGGUGAGUAACGCGUAGGUAACCUACCUCAUAGCGGGGGAUAACUAUUGGAAACGAUAGCUAAUACCGCAUAACAGUCUUUAGCUCAUGUUAGAGGCUUGAAAGGGGCAAUUGCUUCACUAUGAGAUGGACCUGCGUUGUAUUAGCCAGUUGGUGAGGUAACGGCUCACCAAGGCGACGAUACAUAGCCGACCUGAGAGGGUGAUCGGCCACACUGGGACUGAGACACGGCCCAGACUCCUACGGGAGGCAGCAGUAGGGAAUCUUCGGCAAUGGGGGCAACCCUGACCGAGCAACGCCGCGUGAGUGAAGAAGGUUUUCGGAUCGUAAAGCUCUGUUGUAAGAGAAGCACGUGUGUGAGAGUGGAAAGUUCACACAGUGACGGUAUCUUACCAGAAAGGGACGGCUAACUACGUGCCAGCAGCCGCGGUAAUACGUAGGUCCCGAGCGUUGUCCGGAUUUAUUGGGCGUAAAGCGAGCGCAGGCGGUUUGAUAAGUCUGAAGUUAAAGGCUGUGGCUCAACCAUAGUACGCUUUGGAAACUGUCAAACUUGAGUGCAGAAGGGGAGAGUGGAAUUCCAUGUGUAGCGGUGAAAUGCGUAGAUAUAUGGAGGAACACCGGUGGCGAAAGCGGCUCUCUGGUCUGUAACUGACGCUGAGGCUCGAAAGCGUGGGUAGCGAACAGGAUUAGAUACCCUGGUAGUCCACGCCGUAAACGAUGAGUGCUAGGUGUUAGGCCCUUUCCGGGGCUUAGUGCCGCAGCU